Molecule: long non-coding RNA, 469 nt
Filed under: Mustela putorius furo (domestic ferret)
Lineage: Eukaryota; Metazoa; Chordata; Mammalia; Carnivora; Mustelidae
Description: lncRNA (ENSMPUG00000026318.1)
Source: RNAcentral
GUUUUUCCCCACUGAGGAUGAUAUCAGCUGUGGGUUUUUUAAUAUGGCCUUUAUGACAUUGAGUGGUUGAAGAAAGUUGGACACGCAUCCUUCCUUGUCUCAUUUCCUGUCUCAGCUGUUGGAGAAGAGCUAGAGAAGAGCUUGAUGUACAGCAUAGAGGGGGAGUCUUCACUCUGCUCCUUCACUUCACUCUGUAAGCUGUAGCACAAAUUUUAGGAGAAAGGAAUGAAGACACCAGUCUGAGUUAAAAUUCUGCCACUAACUAAUCAUGCAUGUCAUCCUAGUGAGAUGAGGUUUCAUUUCUGUAACUAACCAAAUUUUUGGCCUAUUUUCGGCAGCCUUUUCUUUGAAAUACAUUUAAUGGAUGCCUAACUUUGUACUUUUUCUUAUCCAUUUAAAUAUUUAUGAAAUAAAUAUUUAUGAAAUAAAAAUAGCUAUGUGCUAGCAUUAUUGAGACGAUAUAAAAAUG